AUUGAACGCUGGCGGCAGGCCUAACACAUGCAAGUCGAGCGGAGCGGCGGACGGGUGAGUAAUGCCUAGGAAUCUGCCUGGUAGUGGGGGAUAACGUCCGGAAACGGACGCUAAUACAGCAUCCUAUCAGAUGAGCAUAGGCCGGAUUAGCUAGUGGGUGGGGUAAAGGCCUACCAAGGCGACGAUCCGUAACUGGUCUGAGAGGAUGAUCAGUCACACUGGAACUGAGACACGGUCCAGACUCCUACGGGAGGCAGCAGUGGGGAAUAUUGGACAAUGGGCGAAAGCCUGAUGCAGCCAUGCCGCGUGUGUGAAGAAGGUCUUCGGGUUGUAAAGCACUUUAAGUUGGGAGGCGUUACCAGCAGAAUAAGCACCGGCUAACUUCGUGCCAGCAGCCGCGGUAAUAC
Molecule: ribosomal RNA, 407 nt
Filed under: uncultured bacterium
Lineage: Bacteria
Description: partial 16S ribosomal RNA
Rfam family: Bacterial small subunit ribosomal RNA
Source: RNAcentral